This is a non-coding RNA of Arthromyces matolae, 82 nucleotides long. The record is from the annotation of a GenBank genome assembly. NCBI's taxonomy places the organism in Eukaryota, Fungi, Basidiomycota, Agaricomycetes, Agaricales, Lyophyllaceae.
UCCGGUAUGGUGUAACGGCUAACAUUGCCGCCUUUCAUUUGAAGUUGCGCGGCAGCUCGGGGUUCGAUUCCCCGUACCGGAG